GAGGAAUCCCCAUGGAGCAGGGCUUUCUUCAGUGGGGCUUUGGUGCUCACUGAGUCUGCUCCUUGAGUGUGUCACU
This 76-nucleotide microRNA precursor is filed under the name Myotis brandtii (Brandt's bat). RNAcentral describes it as "mir-9229 microRNA precursor family". It matches the Rfam family "mir-9229 microRNA precursor family". The record is from Rfam by way of RNAcentral. Lineage: Eukaryota; Metazoa; Chordata; Mammalia; Chiroptera; Vespertilionidae.